CCUACGGGAGGCUGCAGUGGGGAAUAUUGGACAAUGGGGGGAACCCUGAUCCAGCCAUGCCGCGUGUGUGAAGAAGGCCCUCGGGUUGUAAAGCACUUUCAGUGAGGAAGAACGCCUGGUGGUUAAUACCCAUCAGGAAAGACAUCACUCACAGAAGAAGCACCGGCUAACUCCGUGCCAGCAGCCGCGGUAAUACGGAGGGUGCGAGCGUUAAUCGGAAUUACUGGGCGUAAAGCGCGCGUAGGUGGCUUGAUAAGCCGGUUGUGAAAGCCCCGGGCUCAACCUGGGAACGGCAUCCGGAACUGUCAAGCUAGAGUGCAGGAGAGGAAGGUAGAAUUCCCGGUGUAGCGGUGAAAUGCGUAGAGAUCGGGAGGAAUACCAGUGGCGAAGGCGGCCUUCUGGCCUGACACUGACACUGAGGUGCGAAAGCGUGGGUAGCAAACAGGAUUAGAUACCCCGGUAGUC
Molecule: ribosomal RNA, 465 nt
Filed under: Vreelandella stevensii
Lineage: Bacteria; Pseudomonadati; Pseudomonadota; Gammaproteobacteria; Oceanospirillales; Halomonadaceae
Description: partial 16S ribosomal RNA
Rfam family: Bacterial small subunit ribosomal RNA
Source: RNAcentral